Long non-coding RNA from Cavia porcellus (domestic guinea pig), 1001 nucleotides. RefSeq lists it as uncharacterized. The record is from RefSeq and is a predicted model, not a curated record. NCBI's taxonomy places the organism in Eukaryota, Metazoa, Chordata, Mammalia, Rodentia, Caviidae. The transcript has 3 exons.
CUGCAGUGACUGUGCUGGGCAGGUCACCAAUGGGUGCCUCCGAGAUAGUGAGUGACAGUCUCAGAGGACCUCCCCUUAGGGGGACCGAGGGUUCCUGCUGAGGCCCUUCCAGAUCCAAUGCAAGCAAACAGUACCCGUGUGCCCAGCGUGGAGCUGGUCCGAGCCCUUGGAAAGGGUCGGCAGCGGAAACCAGCCAGGCCGGCAAGUGACAGGUACCCGGCGGCUACGUCAGCAGAAGCUGCACUGGUCUCAGGAGACACAUGGACCACGCCUCGGCUGGCUCACCACACACCGACACUAGCGAAGGCAGACUCCACACUGACCACAAAAGCUGUGGCUGCCUCUGGUUUCUGUCACUCUCAACUCCAUAACCUUACAGUGUGACACCAGUUAACUCCAGAGUCCCAAUCCCACAGGGCCCAGGCUAGCACCUCUCGCCUGCCCAGCCUGCACACCCAGCCCAGCCCCACACCCGUGUGCCCUGGCCAGGUGUGUGCCACCUCUCUUCCCUCCCACUGUCGAGUCUCCUGGACUCCCUGCCCAAGCUCCCGGGGAGACCCAGGCUCACCUCUCAGGGUCAGGGCUCAGACCAUCCCAUGGCCACGCGCCCACACUCUUCACACCACGGAAACAUCUACAUAGACACUGACGCGGCCCAACACAGGUGCCACCUCGUAGGAAAAGGAAGCCAAGGACUCUGCUGCAAGCAGGGCCCAUGACAGAUGCCAUGAUGGGCAUGACUCUCCUAAGGGGUCCUAAGAGCAUCCGUCUGCAGGAGCUCGUGGCCGCAGCCAGGGGGCGCAGUAGGUCCUGAGUCCCCCUCCAGAGGGGACUGUGCUAAGCAGCCUUGGAGAAGAUGCUAUUGGGGUUUUCACCUGCUCUGGGCUCCCGUCCUGCCCCCAAAUAAAAGCCUGUGUGAAAAGUCCCCGAAACAAACUCCUGCCUCUGAGAUUCAAGACCCUGACUGCCUGGCUGGGCACCUUGAUGCUGGCUCCACCCUG